AUCACCUUGGGGAUUUUGUUAAAAUGGAGAUUCUGAUUUGUAGGUCUGGGUGAGCCCCAAGAAUCUGCGUUUCUAACAAGCUCCCAAGUGAUGCUGA
This 97-nucleotide microRNA precursor is filed under the name Equus asinus (donkey). RNAcentral's name for it is "mir-544 microRNA precursor family". It matches the Rfam family "mir-544 microRNA precursor family". The record is from Rfam by way of RNAcentral. Lineage: Eukaryota; Metazoa; Chordata; Mammalia; Perissodactyla; Equidae. RNAcentral also lists the same sequence under 1 other name.